AUGGAUGAGCAAGGGGAGAGGGGGCUCCAGCUGCUGCUCCCCGCAGCCGCUGCUCGGGUGCUCCGGGAAGCGCCGGCCAGCGCCGCCACCGACCACCAGCAGCUGGACCUGGACCUGUCCAUGAGCAUUGGGCCGAGGCAGCAGCAGCUGCAGCUGCAGCUGCCACGGCCGGCGCCGCCGACUCCACCGGCGAACGAGAGCAGGAGAGCAGCGGCGACUGUGGCCGCCAGCGCUGCGACGGCGAGGCACGUGCAGCAGCAGCAGCAGCAGGUGACGGUGGACGUCCGCGCCGUGAAGCAGCAGACGGCGGAGCAGGCCCGGAUGGCAUCGGCGGAGCGCGCCUACGCGGAGCGCGUCCGGGAGCUGGCGAAGCGGGAGCUGGAGCUCGCCGAGAGAGAGUUCGCGCGCGCCAGGAUGAUCUGGGAGCGCGCCCGCGAGGAGGUGGAGCGGGUGGAGCGGAUGAAGCAGAUCGCCGCCAGGCGGCUCGGCUCCGCCGCGCUCGAGAUCACCUGCCACGCCUGCAUGCAGCGCUUCCAUCCUUAA
Molecule: ribosomal RNA, 543 nt
Filed under: Triticum aestivum (bread wheat)
Lineage: Eukaryota; Viridiplantae; Streptophyta; Magnoliopsida; Poales; Poaceae
Description: partial small subunit ribosomal RNA
Source: RNAcentral